This 247-nucleotide unclassified non-coding RNA is filed under the name uncultured Lasiosphaeriaceae. RNAcentral describes it as "sequence contains ITS2". The stretch from base 1 to 52 matches the Rfam family "5.8S ribosomal RNA", at positions 103 to 154 of the family's 154-position model. The record is from RNAcentral. Lineage: Eukaryota; Fungi; Ascomycota; Sordariomycetes; Sordariales; Lasiosphaeriaceae.
AACGCACAUUGCGCCCGCCAGUAUUCUGGCGGGCAUGCCUGUUCGAGCGUCAUUUCAACCAUCAAGCGCCAGCGCUUGUGUUGGAGCCCUGCGGCUGCCGCAGGCUCCCAAACCCAGUGGCGGGCUCGUCGUCGUACCGAGUGCAGUAAACAUACCACGCUCAGGGCACGCGACGGGUGACCGGCCGUAAAACCCCCAACUUCUCCAGGUUGACCUCGGAUCAGGUAGGAAUACCCGCUGAACUUAA